RNAcentral lists this ribosomal RNA (482 nucleotides) under uncultured bacterium. Its description in RNAcentral is "bacterial SSU rRNA". It matches the Rfam family "Bacterial small subunit ribosomal RNA", at positions 29 to 506 of the family's 1533-position model. The record is from RNAcentral.
UUGGACGCUGGCGGAAUGCUUUACACAUGCAAGUCGAACGGCAGCACGGGGGCAACCCUGGUGGCGAGUGGCGAACGGGUGAGUAAUGUAUCGGAACGUACCCAGUCGUGGGGGAUAACUAUCCGAAAGGAUAGCUAAUACCGCAUACGUCCUGAGGGAGAAAGCGGGGGAUCGCAAGACCUCGCGCGAUUGGAGCGGCCGAUAUCGGAUUAGCUAGUUGGUGGGGUAAAGGCCUACCAAGGCGACGAUCCGUAGCUGGUCUGAGAGGAUGAUCAGCCACACUGGGACUGAGACACGGCCCAGACUCCUACGGGAGGCAGCAGUGGGGAAUUUUGGACAAUGGGCGCAAGCCUGAUCCAGCCAUGCCGCGUGAGUGAAGAAGGCCUUCGGGUUGUAAAGCUCUUUCAGACGGAAAGAAAUCGGGCGCGUGAAUAGCGUGCCUGGAUGACGGUACUGUCAGAAGAAGCACCGGCUAACUACGU